CCGGCACGGGUGAGUAACACGUAUGCAAUCCACCUGUAACAGGGGAGUAACCGGAGAAAUCCGGACUAAUACCCAUAAUAUGGGCGCUCCGCAUGGAGAGCCCAUUAAAGAGAGCAAUUUUGGUUACAGACGAGCAUGCGCUCCAUUAGCCAGUUGGCGGGGUAACGGCCCACCAAAGCGACGAUGGAUAGGGGUUCUGAGAGGAAGGUCCCCCACAUUGGGACUGAGACACGGUCCAA
Molecule: ribosomal RNA, 239 nt
Filed under: uncultured bacterium
Lineage: Bacteria
Description: partial 16S ribosomal RNA
Rfam family: Bacterial small subunit ribosomal RNA
Source: RNAcentral